Molecule: ribosomal RNA, 173 nt
Filed under: uncultured rumen bacterium
Lineage: Bacteria
Description: partial 16S ribosomal RNA
Rfam family: Bacterial small subunit ribosomal RNA
Source: RNAcentral
UACGGGAGGCAGCAGUGGGGAAUAUUGGGCAAUGGGCGAAAGCCUGACCCAGCAACGCCGCGUGAGUGAAGAAGGCCUUCGGGUUGUAAAGCUCUGUUAUAGUUGACGAAGGAAGUGACGGUAGGCGUGAUAAGGAAGCCCCGGCUAACUACGUGCCAGCAGCCGCGGUAAAU